GAUGAACGCUGACAGAAUGCUUAACACAUGCAAGUCUUUGGCGAAGCUGUGCUUGCACAGCCUAGCCAAGGCGGACGGGUGAGUAACGCGUAAGGAACUUGCCCUGCAGUCAGGGAUAACAGACGGAAACGACUGAUAAGACCUGGUAAAGUCAGGCGGACUCAUGUCCAGCCUGAUGAAAAGAGAUGCUGCAGGAGAGCCUUGCGUCCUAUUAGCUUGUUGGUGGGGUAACGGCCCACCAAGGCGAUGAUAGGUAGCCGGCCUGAGAGGGUGGACGGCCACAAGGGGACUGAGAUACGGCCCUUACUCCUACGGGAGGCAGCAGUGGGGAAUAUUGGACAAUGGGGGCAACCCUGAUCCAGCAAUUCUGUGUGCACGAUGAAAGUUUUCGGAUUGUAAAGUGCUUUCAGCAGGGAAGAAAAAAUGACGGUACCUGCAGAAGAAGCGACGGCUAAAUACGUG
Molecule: ribosomal RNA, 462 nt
Filed under: uncultured bacterium
Lineage: Bacteria
Description: partial 16S ribosomal RNA
Rfam family: Bacterial small subunit ribosomal RNA
Source: RNAcentral